UCCUACGGGGGGCAGCAGUGAGGAAUAUUGGUCAAUGGCCGGAAGGCUGAACCAGCCAAGUCGCGUGAGGGAAUAAGGCCCUAUGGGUCGUAAACCUCUUUUGUCAGGGAGCAAAGGCGUCCACGUGUGGACAAGAGGAGAGUACCUGAAGAAAAAGCAUCGGCUAACUCCGUGCCAGCAGCCGCGGUAAUACGGAGGAUGCGAGCGUUAUCCGGAUUUACUGGGUGUAAAGGGAGCGUAGACGGCAGCGCAAGUCUGGAGUGAAAUGCCGGGGCCCAACCCCGGAACUGCUCUGGAAACUGGGA
This 305-nucleotide ribosomal RNA is filed under the name uncultured bacterium. Its description in RNAcentral is "bacterial SSU rRNA". It matches the Rfam family "Bacterial small subunit ribosomal RNA", at positions 337 to 638 of the family's 1533-position model. The record is from RNAcentral.